CAAGUAUGUUAUUCGCAUUCUCUGUUACUAGAUAUAAAAAAAUAUGGCAGAAAUUAUCCUUUCAAUUAAUUUUCAACAAAUGCCAGUCAUAUUAUUAAAGUUACUCACUAUUAUCUACAUAAAAUGCAAACUCACCUUAAGUUAAUAGAUAAAUGUAUAUAAGUAAUGCAAGUACGUAUUAACGCAUUCUAAUAGGGAUUAAUUGAAUUGCCUUCACUGUUAAAUUAAUAAUGAAUAAGUUGUUGUCAAUAUACAUGUUAUAGAGUUAGUUAUGCCAAUGAGCCCUUUUCUUAUGAGUUUUAAUAAAACAUUUUUAUUUUUUGAGUUACGUCUUUAAUGGAAUUUCAUUUUGAGAGAGUAUAAAUAAAAUACUGAUAGCAGGUGGUGUGUAAUGCAAAUUCAUAAAAUAUAUGUGUAUAUUUACACUUCUGAAUAUUGUCAUGUACAAUAGUCCUGGUGCUACUGUUUUGACCAUAACAAUUUUGAAGUAAAAAAAAGGUUCAAAUGUAUAAUAUAAAGAAAUGAAUAUGCAUAAUUGAACAAACAAUCAUUUUGCUAGGACAAAAAUAACAUUGAGUGGGACUGUUUAUUGCCCACUAUUUAUAUAAUUAAGAAAUACUGAAGUCUAAGAGAAUUGAUUGCCUGAUUACAAUUUUUAAAAAAUACAUGAAAAUACAUAUUAGAUAUAUCUUAUUGACAGAAACAUUGAUAUUUAAUAAAUAUAAGUUCCUUAAUUACAAUGCAAUUGUAUAUUUCUCAUAACUUUGACUUGAAUUUCAUUUUAAAACACAAUCAAUAAGAUGCGAGACAUAUUUAAGCAAUUGGUAGUUUGGAUUUCUAUAUAA
Molecule: long non-coding RNA, 845 nt
Filed under: Mytilus galloprovincialis (Mediterranean mussel)
Lineage: Eukaryota; Metazoa; Mollusca; Bivalvia; Mytilida; Mytilidae
Source: RNAcentral